RNAcentral lists this long non-coding RNA (3164 nucleotides) under Sus scrofa (pig). Its description in RNAcentral is "lncRNA (ENSSSCG00060048154.1)". The record is from RNAcentral. Lineage: Eukaryota; Metazoa; Chordata; Mammalia; Artiodactyla; Suidae.
UUGGAUAAAUAAAACAAAUCGUCACUACCUUCAGAAUGAUAUAUUUAAAUUGGACUGAUUAUUACAAGAUUUAAAAUGGGGGUGCCAAUUCAAAACAUGACUGGUAGAGAAAUAUGAACUGAAUGGCCAAUAUUGAAAUGGAAGCAUUUUAAGAAUUUCUUUUAAAUUGCAAAACUAUGGAACAAAUUUAAAGGAAUUGUAUGGAUAGGUAGAGGGAAGAGUGUUAAAAUUCUGUUUUGGAUGAGUUCUCACAUAACAAAAAUGGAAAACAUUUAGGCAGAUCAUUGAUACUACAAAGUAAAUUAACCGGAACAUAAUGCCCUUUGUUCUAGGUGUUCAUUGAGUGAGUGAACAAAUGAAUGAAUUAAUGCACAUUUGGUUUUAUUUAUCAGGUAAUAAUAAAAGGUCAGUGAAAUGAAUUAAUUAUAUUAAAAAUAAUUCCUAUGGUUAACUGUUGACUAAGCUUUCAAUCAGUAUAAUCUCUUUCAAUCAAUAUACUAUAUUUUCAUGGGAAAAAGAGAUGACAAGAAAUUUUCUAACUAAUCCAGAUUGAAAACUAGUCUUCAAUGCAAAAUAGUCUUAUUCAGAAUGUACGGCUGUGUUUCUGUGGAAUGUUGGACUCUCUUCAUUUCAGUCCCUUCUGUGUCAAGAGGAUUAUGUGAUGACUGAAGCUACUUCAAUAAGCUGGAAGAUUCUUACUCAACUGUGUUUUCCUGCCGACGAACCUGGGUCUAGAGGAUUUUCAAAGGUUAUCAUUUCAUUCCAGCAAAAACAUCCACUUCUUCUAUUAGGUAGACACUCGAAGGUGAUUGUUGUAUUGCUUUGGAUUAAGCUAUAUUAAAAUGGUCAAAUCGGUUAGGUUUAGACUAAGCCAAUAUUAGAGAAAUAAGCAAAGGGUCGAUUUUUUUUUUUUUUUCCCCCAUUUCAUGCAGCUUUGUAUCACAGGACACUUUCCCUGUCCACUUUCUUAAAUCCUUUCCCAGAGUCACUGCCUCCUUUGCACACUCUCUUUCUUAAAUAGCAAGACUAAGACCUUCUCAGCAGAAAUAUAAAUAAGGCAGAUUGGAAAUAUACAAGAUAUGUGUUUACCACAUAUGCGUGUGUAUGUGAAUGUGUAUUCUUAAUGAAUACACUUGUUUAUCUUUAGUUAUAAAUUUUGAUCUUUGUUCAAAAUAAUGUUUUUCCAAACAUUCACAUAUUAAAACAAUCAGCUUCAAGAAAGAUUUCUGCCAUGCUAAAUUGUCAGUUUCUUCUAUUUGUGAGAGAUAAUAAAAUAGUGACUGUGUAAAUUGGUUAUGAAGCUGUUUAAAACAAAUUCUCACUUUAAUUCUAUUUAAUCUAUAUACUUUGUAAUCAAACUGGAUGAUAGUCCAGCAAUAUCAUACAUAAUCUAAUAAUUUUAUUUUGUAUCCUCUGUACAAAACUUUUUUAUUAUACUGUGGCUAAGUAAAUUGCACUAUUGUACCUGCAAAGCAGCUUUUUUAGUUAUUCAAUAAAUUACUUGGACUGUAGUUCAAUGCAAUAAUUUUUUUUCAAUAAAAAGCUUAAUGGUAUGAGAGUGUUAGUCACGUAUUUCUAACAAAAAGCAUACCAAAAUAUCAGAACAAAAUCAAAAGCAAAAUGGUAUGAAAAUAAUCUGUAUUUUACACUGCUGAAUUUAAAAUGCAUUCAACAUUUUAUUUAUUAUUGUGUAUAUUUAUAUUAUAUAUUUAAAGGCUGGAAUUUCUUAGACUAUUUCUUAAAACUUUAGUGUUAUAAAAUAAAGCUGUUUCCUCAAACUGAAAAUAAAUGUCUUUAAAAUUCUAUAGAUGUGUUCUUUGUUGAAACCUAUUAUACCUAUACUACUUGAUGCCCUGUUUCUGUUUGUUCACAUUAAAAAAUUGUGAUCUAAUAUGAUGCAGUGCUCUAACAAAGCUCUAUAAAUACUUUCUGUAAUGUAUUCUGCAGUUGACACACUAUAGACAUGGUGGCAUACUGCCUAUUAUAGUAUUUGAUUGUAAACUAAAAAAAUACUUUAAUUAAUAACCCCAAUACGCUGUUAUUUUGAGAAGGACUUUAAUCAACUAUGACCAAUGUUAUGGGACUAUGACUUGAGACACUAGUUGACUGUCACUUCUCAUGUAAUUUUCUCUGUCUCUGCCCUUCCCAAGACAACUGUUUGGAGACUUCAUCUGGUGAGAAUCUUAGUAUGAUUUAUUCUGUGCAAAAGCUGAGACCAAGAGUUCCUAGAAAUGACUGCUAGAUGCCCCCUUGUUCUUGAAUCACAUGGAUAUUUAACUCUUCUUUUUACCCUCCUAUAAGUUUUAACCAAGUUUAAAAGCUCCUUGCUUCUGCACUUUAAUUGGAUACCCUGUCACUACCUGUGCCUUUAUUGAACAGGACCUUGCUCUUCAAUCUAACCCAGCGGUCAAGCCCAGGUUCCAGCUGCCCAUCACCUGCCUCCCUAAACUUCCACCUACAUUCUCUAUUUCUGUACUGAACUCUCUUCAGAAUCCUCCUAAAUAAUCAACAAGUACCGUUCCCAGAACACACACACGUGAGCAUACAUACAUUUUUGACGAGAGUCAUGGCAGAAACUCUCAUUUCUUAAUUAACUUGUCGCCAUGUAUUGAUUACCUAUACGGACCAGGCACUGUUCAGGUCACACAUAUCCUUCCCACUAGUUAUAGUCCCAGGUACCUUCUGAUCAGAAAAAUUGAUUUUACUUGAAAAUAAAGAAGAGGAUAUUACUAAUUGGACAGAGACAUAGAAGAAAUGGUGAUGUAUGAUCUGUGUAUUCAGUGUCCACCCCUCCCUCAUGUGUGAAGCUUUUGCCAGAUCUGGGCUUUGCUCACCUGUGUAAUUUUAAGGCCAUCAUGGAAUUAUUUGACACAGACAUAAAAUGCAUAUCUCACACUCUUGAGGUUGUGUUCUCUUAUUAUAUCUGGUAGAAUUGAGUCAAUUCCCAAAUGGUAUUUGGUAAUGUUUUGAAUCAUAGAAAAAUUAGCAGAACUUUGUGAAUUUGCUUAGCAAGAAAUAGAUGAAAGCUACUCGGCAGCCUGGCACACUCAUGAAAGGGCUAUGCUACUUUAAAACUCUCCAGGUGCACAAUUCGCCAAUUAAACACUUUCUUUACAUUAAUUUUUUAUUAGAGGGAUAAUUCAAAGACAUGGUAUUUCAAUUAU